Molecule: ribosomal RNA, 478 nt
Filed under: uncultured bacterium
Lineage: Bacteria
Description: partial 16S ribosomal RNA
Rfam family: Bacterial small subunit ribosomal RNA
Source: RNAcentral
GACGAACGCUGGCGGCGUGCUUAACACAUGCAAGUCGAACGGUAAGGCCCUUCGGGGUACACGAGUGGCGAACGGGUGAGUAACACGUGGGUGAUCUGCCCUGCACUUCGGGAUAAGCCUGGGAAACUGGGUCUAAUACCGGAUAGGACCACUGCCUGCAUGGGUGGUGGUGGAAAGCUUUUGCGGUGUGGGAUGGGCCCGCGGCCUAUCAGCUUGUGGGUGGGGUGAUGGCCUACCAAGGCGAGGACGGGUAGCCGGCCUGAGAGGGUGACCGGCCACACUGGGACUGAGAUACGGCCCAGACUCCUACGGGGGGCAGCAGUGGGGAAUAUUGCACAAUGGGCGCAGGCCUGAUGAAGCGACGCCGCGUGAGGGAUGACGGCCUUCGGGUUGUAAACCUCUUUCAGCACCGACGAAGCGCAAGUGACGGUAGGUGCAGAAGAAGGACCGGCCAACUACGUGCCAGCCGCCGCCGUAA